ACCUCAAAUCAGGCAAGAAUACCCGCUGAACUUAAGCAUAUCAAUAAGCGGAGGAAAAGAAACUAACAAGGAUUCCCCUAGUAACGGCGAGUGAAGAGGGAAGAGCUCAAAUUUUAAAUCAGCCUUGUUUACAAGGUUGAAUUGUAGUUUGAAGAAGCGUUUUCUUGGGCUCGCGGCCGGUAGAAGUUCUUUGGAACAGGACAUCAUAGAGGGUGACAAUCCCGUCCGUGACCGGUCGUGCGUUCAUCUACGAUACGCUUUCAAAGAGUCGAGUUGUUUGGGAUUGCAGCUCCAAACGGGUGGUAAACAUCACCUAAGGCUAAAUAUUGGCGAGAGACCGAUAGCGAACAAGUACCGUGAGGGAAAGAUGAAAAGAACUUUGAAAAGAGAGUUAAACAGUACGUGAAAUUGUUGAAAGGGAAACGAUUGAAGUCAGUCGUGCUGGCGCGAAAUCAACCCUCUCGUCUUGAGAUCACAUGGCGCGACGAGCCUCAAAACCGUCACGAAGCGUGAACUCUUGACGAAAAGGUGCACUUUCGUGUCCGCUGGUUAACAUCAAUUUCGAACGUCAUAAAAAGGCUGGAGGGAUGUGGCUCCUUCGGGAGUGUUAUAACCUUUAGCGGAAUGUGGCGUUCGGGAUUGAGGAUUGCAACGAAUACCUUCAGGGCUGUUCCACCUGGCUUCUCAUUGGUAUCCUGGUGACGACAGCUUGCUGACGUCGUUAGGAUCAGCUUCUGAACAGGCUAGAGUGUGAGCAAAUUCGUUAAGGAUGUUAACGUAAUGGCUUUAAACGACCCGUCUUGAAACACGGACCA
RNAcentral lists this ribosomal RNA (815 nucleotides) under Entrophospora etunicata. RNAcentral describes it as "eukaryotic LSU rRNA". It matches the Rfam family "Eukaryotic large subunit ribosomal RNA", at positions 1 to 668 of the family's 3401-position model. The record is from RNAcentral. Lineage: Eukaryota; Fungi; Glomeromycota; Glomeromycetes; Entrophosporales; Entrophosporaceae.